AUCAAGCUGACGAGUCCCAAAUGGGACGAAACGCACGUCUUGGAU
Molecule: non-coding RNA, 45 nt
Organism: Schistosoma mansoni
Lineage: Eukaryota; Metazoa; Platyhelminthes; Trematoda; Strigeidida; Schistosomatidae
Source: Rfam